CUCCUUUUCUUUUUGCGAAUACAGACUAACACGGCUGCUACUCUGAAACCUUCUCUAAGAUUCAUGUUGGUAGGGGGCUGAAUUAUUGUGAUGUCUAUUUCUGAAGUGUGAGGAGUGCCUAGCCUUUUGCCUUGACUUCCUUGCAACUGUGGUUCAAAUCAGGCCAGCUACUGGUUGUGAACUCGAUGGAAAGGAAAGACACACACGUACAAACGAGGGACAACAGUUCUAGAUUAAUGUUUCUUUGAAAGACAGGUUUCUUCCACCCUCCCAAUCUGUUUGGUGUUUGACAGUUGUCAAGCUAAUGCCCAAACACUCAGUUCAGACCAAUGCAUAAGCACUGACCUUGGACUGAAAAACCUGAUGGAAAUAAUUGCUCAAAGCACCAGCCCAGUAGCCUAGCAGAGGUGGGACGAAAGGUCUUGUGAGUGAGUGCACCUUCCCGAUAACUCAACAAGCCUUAUGCCACUCUCAUAAAGGGUCCGAUCCAACACUUACAGAACACAAUGGAGUCUUUCUAUUGACUUCAGUGGGCACUGGAUUAAGAUCUUCCUCUGUGUUUAUACCUUCAUUGGCUUCAAUAGUGUCACUCCUACUUUACACUAGUAUCAGUGAGAGGAGAAUCCGGUUCAAUGUUCUCAGAUACCAUGGUGAUGAGCACAGUCUAUGAACCUAAACAGAAGAGAAUGAGGAUUUGUGCCUGCUUAUUCCAGAGCUG
Dermochelys coriacea (leatherback sea turtle) is the source of this 718-nucleotide long non-coding RNA. RefSeq lists it as uncharacterized. The record is from RefSeq and is a predicted model, not a curated record. The transcript has 3 exons. NCBI's taxonomy places the organism in Eukaryota, Metazoa, Chordata, Testudines, Dermochelyidae.